ACCUAGGUGGCUCAGUUGGUUGAGCAUCUGACUUCGGCUCAGGUCAUGAUCUCACGGUCUGUGGGUUCAAGACCCACAUCGGGCU
RNAcentral lists this transfer RNA (85 nucleotides) under Felis catus (domestic cat). It matches the Rfam family "tRNA". From Rfam's summary of the family: Transfer RNA (tRNA) molecules are approximately 80 nucleotides in length. Their secondary structure includes four short double-helical elements and three loops (D, anti-codon, and T loops). Further hydrogen bonds mediate the characteristic L-shaped molecular structure. tRNAs have two regions of fundamental functional importance: the anti-codon, which is responsible for specific mRNA codon recognition, and the 3' end, to which the tRNAs corresponding amino acid is attached (by aminoacyl-tRNA synthetases). tRNAs cope with the degeneracy of the genetic code in two manners: having more than one tRNA (with a specific anti-codon) for a particular amino acid; and 'wobble' base-pairing, i.e. permitting non-standard base-pairing at the 3rd anti-codon position. Lineage: Eukaryota; Metazoa; Chordata; Mammalia; Carnivora; Felidae. The record is from Rfam by way of RNAcentral.